AUUGAACGCUGGCGGCAGGCCUAACACAUGCAAGUCGAACGCGUCGCGGACGUGUGUGUUAUGUCUGGGAAUCUGCCUGAUGGAGGGGUAUAACUACUGGAACCUGUCUCUUAUACCGCAUUCCAUCGUGUGCGCCCAGAUGGGAUUAGCUUGUAGGUGGGGUAAAGGCUCAUCUAGGCGACGAUCCCUAGCUGGUCUGAGAGGAUGACCAGCCACACUGGGACUGAGACACGGUCCAGACUCCUACGGGAGGCAGCAGUGGGGAAUAUUGCACAAUGGGCGCAAGCCCGAUGCAGCCAUGCCGCGUGUAUGAAGAAGGCCUUCGGGUUGUAAAGUACUUUCAGCGGGGAGGCGUUACCCGCAGAAGAAGCACCGGCUAACUCCGUGCCAGCAGCCGCGGUAAUAC
This 406-nucleotide ribosomal RNA is filed under the name uncultured bacterium. RNAcentral's name for it is "partial 16S ribosomal RNA". It matches the Rfam family "Bacterial small subunit ribosomal RNA", at positions 30 to 526 of the family's 1533-position model. The record is from RNAcentral.